RNAcentral lists this ribosomal RNA (1332 nucleotides) under uncultured bacterium. RNAcentral describes it as "bacterial SSU rRNA". It matches the Rfam family "Bacterial small subunit ribosomal RNA", at positions 28 to 1381 of the family's 1533-position model. The record is from RNAcentral.
AACGAACGCUGGCGGCGUGGAUAAGACAUGCAAGUCGAACGAGAGAAUUGCUAGCUUGCUAAUAAUUCUCUAGUGGCGCACGGGUGAGUAACACGUGAGUAACCUGCCCCCGAGAGCGGGAUAGCCCUGGGAAACUGGGAUUAAUACCGCAUAGAAUCGCAGGAUUAAAGCAGCAAUGCGCUUGGGGAUGGGCUCGCGGCCUAUUAGUUAGUUGGUGAGGUAACGGCUCACCAAGGCGAUGACGGGUAGCCGGUCUGAGAGGAUGUCCGGCCACACUGGAACUGAGACACGGUCCAGACACCUACGGGUGGCAGCAGUCGAGAAUCAUUCACAAUGGGGGAAACCCUGAUGGUGCGACGCCGCGUGGGGGAAUGAAGGUCUUCGGAUUGUAAACCCCUGUCAUGUGGGAGCAAAUUAAAAAGAUAGUACCACAAGAGGAAGAGACGGCUAACUCUGUGCCAGCAGCCGCGGUAAUACAGAGGUCUCAAGCGUUGUUCGGAAUCACUGGGCGUAAAGCGUGCGUAGGCUGUUUCGUAAGUCGUGUGUGAAAGGCGCGGGCUCAACCCGCGGACGGCACAUGAUACUGCGAGACUAGAGUAAUGGAGGGGGAACCGGAAUUCUCGGUGUAGCAGUGAAAUGCGUAGAUAUCGAGAGGAACACUCGUGGCGAAGGCGGGUUCCUGGACAUUAACUGACGCUGAGGCACGAAGGCCAGGGGAGCGAAAGGGAUUAGAUACCCCUGUAGUCCUGGCAGUAAACGGUGCACGCUUGGUGUGCGGGGAAUCGACCCCCUGCGUGCCGGAGCUAACGCGUUAAGCGUGCCGCCUGGGGAGUACGGUCGCAAGAUUAAAACUCAAAGAAAUUGACAGGGACCCGCACAAGCGGUGGAGUAUGUGGCUUAAUUCGAUGCAACGCGAAGAACCUUACCUGGGCUUGACAUGUAAUGAACAACAUGUGAAAGCAUGCGACUCUUCGGAGGCGUUACACAGGUGCUGCAUGGCCGUCGUCAGCUCGUGUCGUGAGAUGUUUGGUUAAGUCCAGCAACGAGCGCAACCCCUGUUGCCAGUUACCAGCACGUGAAGGUGGGGACUCUGGCGAGACUGCCCAGAUCAACUGGGAGGAAGGUGGGGACGACGUCAGGUCAGUAUGGCCCUUAUGCCCAGGGCUGCACACGUACUACAAUGCCCAGUACAGAGGGGGCCGAAGCCGCGAGGCGGAGGAAAUCCUGAAAACUGGGCCCAGUUCGGACUGUAGGCUGCAACCCGCCUACACGAAGCCGGAAUCGCUAGUAAUGGCGCAUCAGCUACGGCGCCGUGAAUACGUUCCCGGGUCU